GAUGAACGCUGGCGGCGUGCCUAAUACAUGCAAGUCGAGCGAACGGACGAGAAGCUUGCUUCUCUGAUGUUAGCGGCGGACGGGUGAGUAACACGUGGAUAAACUACCUAUAAGCCUGGGUUAAAUUCGGGAAAACGGAGCUAAUACCGGUUGAUAUUUUGAACAGCAUGGUUGCACCGUGAAAGACGGUGUUGCUGUCACUUAUAGUUGGAUCUGGGUUGGAUUAGCUAGUUGGUAAGGUCACGGCUUACCAAGGCAACGAUGGAUAGCCGACUCGGGAGGGUCAUCGGACACACGGUAACUGAGACACGGUCGAGACUCUGACAGGGAGCAACAGUAGGGAAUCUUCCGCAAUGGACGAAAGCCUAACGGAGCAACGCCGCGGGAAUGAUGAAGGUCUUCGGAUCGGAAAACUCUGUUAUUAGGGAAGAACAUAUGUGUAAGUAACUGUGCACAUCUUGACGGUACCUAAUCAGAAAGCCACGGCUAACUACGUG
This 497-nucleotide ribosomal RNA is filed under the name uncultured bacterium. RNAcentral describes it as "partial 16S ribosomal RNA". It matches the Rfam family "Bacterial small subunit ribosomal RNA", at positions 28 to 507 of the family's 1533-position model. The record is from RNAcentral.